This is a long non-coding RNA of Oncorhynchus gorbuscha (pink salmon), 734 nucleotides long. RefSeq lists it as uncharacterized. Lineage: Eukaryota; Metazoa; Chordata; Actinopteri; Salmoniformes; Salmonidae. The transcript has 3 exons. The record is from RefSeq and is a predicted model, not a curated record.
UUCCAUGGAGGGCUGAGUGUCUGUGAGUUUUUGGUUUUUCCUUUCAAUUUAAGACCUAGACCAAGAGGAGAGCACUUUACUAAUGAGUGACCUUAAUUCAAUCAAUCAAGGAAGGAGCAAAAACCCAGACACGUGACUUACAGCUUAAAAUCAUGUCUUAUUGGAGUGCGAAGGGGGCUGGGACAGAAAGGGGUAUUGGCUUGGCCUAUUCUGAAAUGAAGGGAACCAUUUUUGAUACGGUCAUGUCAAGGGCACAAUGUGACACCGACUGCAACCUACAGCUCCCCAGCAGAACGACUGCCCUCCUUUGUCCCGGAGCGUUUCCUCUUGACGUGGUAUUUACUUUACUCAGGCACAUAAAAGAGGUGAACGUUCCCUGGCCGUCAGUGACUGGAAGGAGACCACUUCAAAUACAAUGCUCCUCUGGGACCUCAUCCCUUCCCGAACCAGCCGGGCAUCAGCGAAUGAAAACAGAUGGAUUCAUGAGGGCAGAAUCUGGGUCACUGUCUUUUUUCCCCUCCAACCUGGUAGGUUCCAAAACCGCAAGCCCACAUGCAUGAAAUAUCUAUUAAUCUAAGCAUUGUGUGUGUGUGUGUGUGUGUGUGUGUGUGUGUGUGUGUGUGUGUGUGUGUGUGUGUGUGUGUGUGUGUGUGUGUGUGUGUGUGUGUGUGUGUGUGUGUGUGUGUGUGUGUGUGUGUCUUUGGAAAUCUGGAAUAGUGACAAUGAGUACAAUG